ACGCUCGACACCUACGGAAGGCAGCAGUGGGGAAUAUUGCACAAUGGGGGAAACCCUGAUGCAGCGACGCCGCGUGAGCGAAGAAGUAUCUCGGUAUGUAAAGCUCUAUCAGCAGGGAAGAAGAUGACGGUACCUGACUAAGAAGCACCGGCUAAAUACGUGCCAGCAGCCGCGGUAAUCUGGAGGCGGGCUGGCAAGGC
This 200-nucleotide ribosomal RNA is filed under the name uncultured bacterium. Its description in RNAcentral is "partial 16S ribosomal RNA". It matches the Rfam family "Bacterial small subunit ribosomal RNA", at positions 326 to 539 of the family's 1533-position model. The record is from RNAcentral.